AUUCAUUACCUCGCACAGAUCGUUUGUCUUGCGCAUCUCUGCCGUUAUUUAUUAUUUCACGGUGAUAAACGGGCGGGUUUAGCAGAGCAGGGCCACCUCCGGGCCGUGAGCCGCACUUUGAUGAGGCAAAACAAGCCGUUAAUUCUGAAUUGCUCCUCUGCAGGGCGCUCUCUCCGCAUGUUGCCACUAGGGGGAGGGGGGUGUCUCACCCGUUCAAAAUAAGUUCAUAGCAGGCUGGUGCUAAGCUCCACAGGCAAGAGCUGGGCGCCUUCAGUCCAUGCCACGAGAGCAGUGCCGCCCUGUGCAGCCUUCUUCGGCAGCUGGCACUGCUCUGCUGAAUGUCUGGCUCCGGGUUGCACUGCUAAAUACAUCACAGGCACCACAGUGCCCACAGGGUACGUGCCACAGCUUUAAUGUCAGUCAGUGAACGGUGCCCUGGGCACAAGCCAUGAUCUUCAGUCAGAGCCAUGGCUGAGUGCAUCAGAGACACAAGCGGGGAUGCAUCUGGAAGGUGAGACCAACAUUCCCAGUCUGGUGUCAUGCUGAAAACGCAGCCCAGGUGUUGCUGAGUCAGAGCUGGGCCCAGCCUGGUGCUGGGAUGCUCCUGCCUGCCCACAACCAGCCACCACCCACAGGUUUCUGCUCUGACUGCUCCACUGCCCUCGCUUGGAAGAUUUUGCACCUCAGCUUUUCUUGGCAAGGGUUUGUCUCCAUGUUUUGUGGGGAGAAAGCAAACACCAGAGCUGCGCCUUGUUAGCUGUAUUCUGUAAGCCCUGGCUGUGCAUUGGGAAGGGCUGAGGGAGACCCCCAUGCAUAGAGAAUAACAGGGCUUUUAAAAUCCUGAUUACAUAGGCAGCUGCCUCGCUUACAGGAGAAAUAAUCACAGGAAUAAUAACAACGUGAAGAAAUACACAGUUGCUCUCUGGAAAUGAGUAAUACAUUGUUACCAGGGUCUAUUAAAAUGUAAUAGUUACUGUAAUUCAACUUCUAAUAAGUAAAAUAGCAUUUAUUUAGUGCUAGAAGAAGUGAUUGGUUUGGAGGUAUCUUAGCAGUAUUUAAAGCACAGCUGGAAUCAUUCACAUCUGAUGCAGGUGGGUGAGGAGAUGUGUUGGGGCAGCACGGCUGCAGCCUGGCUUCUGGGUGAAGCUGAGAGUUAUUUUUAAACUGAAAAGUCCUUUUUUUGGUGAUCCUGAAGUCAUCCUGCUGGGCCCAUUUAACUGGUGGGAGGUGGAUGAAUUUCUUUGUUGUAGGCAGUUUUAUCACAGCCAUCUCACUUCUCCUUCAGUGCUCGGUUAUUCCUGGUUGUCUUCUCAUGGUGUUGGGUUUUUUUUUGGUAAAACAGGAGACUGCUGAGGCCUUUUCUUCAUCCUUUGACCCCUUCCAAAGUGCACACACUGCUCUCAGUGACAGCUGACCCAGGAUUUUGGCAGUACGAAUGGCUUUUUGUGGUCGAUGCUUUGUGAGAUUCCAUUCUGAACGUGAGCCAGCACAGUGCUGCUGGGUGGAAGAGGUAACCUUUGCAAUUUGAACAUAAAGAAUUAAAACAAGCA
Molecule: long non-coding RNA, 1550 nt
Organism: Tympanuchus pallidicinctus (lesser prairie-chicken)
Lineage: Eukaryota; Metazoa; Chordata; Aves; Galliformes; Phasianidae
Exons: 2
Source: RefSeq, a predicted model, not a curated record